GAUGAACGCUGGCGGCGUGCCUAAUACAUGCAAGUCGAGCGAACAGACGAGGAGCUUGCUCCUCUGACGUUAGCGGCGGACGGGUGAGUAACACGUGGAUAACCUACCUAUAAGACUGGGAUAACUUCGGGAAACCGGAGCUAAUACCGGAUAAUAUAUUGAACCGCAUGGUUCAAUAGUGAAAGACGGUUUUGCUGUCACUUAUAGAUGGAUCCGCGCCGCAUUAGCUAGUUGGUAAGGUAACGGCUUACCAAGGCAACGAUGCGUAGCCGACCUGAGAGGGUGAUCGGCCCCACUGGAACUGAGAGACGGUCCAGACUCCUACGGGAGGGAGCAGUAGGGAAUCUUCCGCAAUGGGGGAAAGCCUGACGGAGCAACGCCGCGUGAGUGAUGAAGGUCUUCGGAUCGUAAAACUCUGUUAUUAGGGAAGAACAAAUGUGUAAGUAACUAUGCACGUCUUGACGGUACCUAAUCAGAAAGCCACGGCUAACUACGUG
This 497-nucleotide ribosomal RNA is filed under the name uncultured bacterium. RNAcentral's name for it is "partial 16S ribosomal RNA". It matches the Rfam family "Bacterial small subunit ribosomal RNA", at positions 28 to 507 of the family's 1533-position model. The record is from RNAcentral.